CUGCUACCAUGUGUGACACUACUGCAUGAGAGUGGCCACAUAGAAAGAAAACACACACACACACUCACAUACAUACACACACGUAUACUCUCUGUCUCUGUCUCUCUGUUUCUCUCCCCCCUCUGUCUGUCUCUCCCUCUCUUUCUUUCUUUCUUUCUUUCUUUCUUUCUUUCUUUCUUUCUUUCUUUCUUUCUUUCUUUCUUUCUUUCUUUCUUUCUUUCUUUCUUUCUUUCUUUCUUUCUUUCUUUCUUUCUUUCUUUCUUUCUUUCUUUCUUUCUUUCUUUCUUUCUCUCUCUUUCUUUCUUUCUGUCCCUUCCCCUCUGUCUUUCUUCCUCUAGCUUUCUCUCUCUUUCCACCUUCUCCCCCUUCUCUUUUUCUCUCUGUCCCUUCUUCCCUCUUUCUCUCCUUCUCUCCCUCCCUUUUUCUUCCUUCCUUCCUUCCUUCCUUCCUUCCUUCCUUCCUUCCUCCCUUCCUCCCUUUCUCUCUUUCUCUCUUUCUCUCUUUCUUUCUUUCUCUCUCUCUUUCUCUCUCUCUUUCUUUCUUUCUUUCUUUCUUUCUUUCUUUCUUUCUUUCUUUCUUUCUUUCUUUCUUUCUUUCUUUCUUUCUUUCUUUCUUUCUUUCUUUCUUUCUUUCUUUCUUUCUUUCUUUCUUUCUUUCUUUCUUUCUUUCUUUCUUUCUUUCUUUCUUUUUCUUCCUUUCUUCCUUUCUGACAUAUAUCCAAUAGUAGUAUUGCUGCAUCAAAGGAUGUGUGCAGUUUAGUCACUUUUGGGGUAUAAUUCCAAAUUGUUUUCUAUGAUGUUUGGAGUUGUUUUUCACACUUAUUACAUCAGUGCAUCCUUUUUUAACAAUUGUCAUUUCCUUUUUGUGGAAUCUUUAUCAUUUUGAUGUGUCAGAUGUAAACUUAAGAGUUAUUUAAAUAUGCAUUUCUUUUAUUAAUGAUGUGGAGCAUUUCACAUUCCCUUCCAUCUUUUUAAAAACAUUGGAUAUGCUCAUGAAAAAGUAUUACUGAUACUUACAAUGUUACCUAAUAUACAAUGAGUGUUUUUAGGCAGAGGAUUCUAUAUUUUUAUUCAAACUUUAAGAAUUUUCUCAUGAAGCUAGACUUUGAAAAUUGGGUACUGUUUAUUCCACAUCCAAUUCUGUCCAGAAAAUUUGGCAGGUCGAAGCUUCUGGUAAGUUUACUAACUGAUUGCAUAUGACAGGUGGUUGGCAUUCAAGGUGUAUCCAAAUGAAGGUGCCAUACAACCAAUGCAUGGAUGUGAGAAGUAGGCAGAGGUCACUACUUGUUUAUUUUUUAGCUUAACAUGAGGCCUUUCCUCCACACUUAAAAAGUUAUUACUCAUAAAAUGGAAAUGAAUCUCUGUUAACUUGAACAUUUUCAUUACCACCAAUUUAAUCCCUUCCCCCAUUCAUCUUAUAAUAAAGCCCCAAGAAAAAAAGCA
Molecule: long non-coding RNA, 1442 nt
Filed under: Monodelphis domestica (gray short-tailed opossum)
Lineage: Eukaryota; Metazoa; Chordata; Mammalia; Didelphimorphia; Didelphidae
Description: lncRNA (ENSMODG00000038371.1)
Source: RNAcentral